Molecule: small RNA, 77 nt
Organism: Pluralibacter gergoviae
Lineage: Bacteria; Pseudomonadati; Pseudomonadota; Gammaproteobacteria; Enterobacterales; Enterobacteriaceae
Rfam family: sroE RNA
About the family: This family consists of a number of bacterial sroE RNA genes of around 90 bases in length. sroE is found in several Enterobacterial species but its function is unknown.
Source: Rfam
AUAACGUAUUGGGAAGCGGCACGCUUCCCGUGUAUGAUUGAACCCGUCGGCGCGCAGGCGUCAGGGUUCAUUUUUGU